GUAGAAAUGAUACAUACAAAAAAUUGAGAAACUAGGAAUUGCUUCCCGCCACGAAAAAUGGCGCCGAUUCCCAUGGAGCAGUGCGGGCCUUUAUCAAUGGAUACAUUAGCAACAUACCCGAUGCAAAACGACGGGAAAUUGAGCGUACACUACUAACGUGGUGAACGCUCAAAACCCUAUGAAUAAACGCGUUGCGGUGCACGCGACAGCUAACUCUCGAAUGUUCACACGGCGUUCUUCCUUAGCACGGCAGUAUAUGGCAUAGAUUAAUUAGGUAUUCCGAAUAUUCGACUACAUUUUGCAACUUUGCUUCGCAUUGUGCUCUUCUUACCACUUUUUAUGUUCUUGAUAGAGAUACGCCAUUAAUUCGGCCGCGGGUACGGCUUCAGAACUUCUUUUGCAACGUUGUCGUGCCACAAUAAUUUUGUUUAAGUUUUCCGGAAAUCGAGGGAAAAUUGCAAUCUUUAGGGAAAAUCUGACAUCUGAGAACCUAAUGCUGAUUGCGAUGGGCGUGGCACGGUUAAGCCAACUAAUGUGGUAGCUUGGAGAAUUCGCUCAGUUUUCCAGCGACUUUUGAGAAGUGAUUUUCCGAGGUGCUGAUGGUUUCAACAAUAACAAUAAUCGGCUAGUCGACCGUGUUACAGUGACAGGAGGCAGACUGCAGAACAAAAUUUUGCUUUCACAUAAGUGCUCGUGUGGCCUUAAUGGAAACUAAAAUGAAGAGCGUGUUGAGCUUUAUGGUACUGUGCUUGCUCUCUCAAGUGCAAGCAGCGCAAGAAGAAGCAAGAAGCAUUAAACCUGGUAGAUAUCCAAGGAUGGAACGAGCUUGCUACAGGAAAAUGCCCACUCCUGAGCUAAAUGAGUGCCUCCGCUCUAAUUUUCAAGGCCUCGUGCCCCGUAUGAGAUCUGGUAUCCCAGGUAUUUACACGAGUAGUGUUGACCCGCUUUAUUGGCCCAAAUUCGCCCACUACUUUGGUGGGGCUUUGAUUCAAGGAAGUUUGUCCGUCCACGAUUUGAGCGUCUGGGGUUUCUCCAAUACCAAAAUUCAAGCAGUCAGAGCGAACGUGAAGAACCCACAAAAGAUGUUGGUGGAGGUUGACUGGCUCGUUCCCAAGAUGGACUUUUUCGGACAUUUCAAAUUAAAUGCCAGAAUGGGCACGGACUUUCAUGGACACGGGCCUUUCUGGUUAAAUUUAACCGAUGUAGGUGGAACUUGGACCGUGACCGGGGCCAGAGAGAAGGGAGAACCUACAAUGGAGAUAGUGAGUUUCAGGGGCGCUCCAAAAUAGGAGGUUUCAAGCUACGGGCCAAAGGUGCUGCUUUUGGCAACGACGCAUUGAAUGACCUUGUCAUUGCGACAAUCAACGGAGCAUGGAGGCUUUUCCACCAAAUUGCGAACCCAGCAGUUGACAGAGAAUGGGUGAAUGGUGCCGAGAUAAACUCAACCGUGUUUUCCUCUCAAAUCCGUACGAUGAGCUUUUCCCGGAGAAGCCAAUUCGCUAGACUACGUAUUUUCCCUACUUUUUCUUGCAUUUUCAGCUGCAUUAAAUGCGCUGAAUAUCCCGAAUAUUCAUUCAUAUAGAGAUAAAAAAAUUAAAUCGGUAACUCUUGUUAUAGUAUUUUAUAUUGGUCGAUUGAAGCCCAAGCAGAAGCAACAAAUGAAAAAAAAAAAAAAAAAACCUUGCAAACGCUAAGUUUCCACGUCCACAGUUGACGAAGGUAUCGUCGCCCGAUAAGACCACACAGUGAUUACGUCAUCCACUAAAGUUUUGCAUUCUGUGGUUUCUUCAACCUUGGUCUCAUUAGUUCGUCGCCAGGCUGUCAAAAGGGCGUAACUAAACAUCGAGAUGAGCCGUGAAAAGCAUUGAAUCUUAUGGCUAACAGGGCUCAUUGGUGAAAGCAGCUGUUAAUAUUUCAAGGAACCAAACCAAACCCCUGCAAAUUUUAGCAGUAAAGAGCGAGUUCGUUACUCAUCACCUAAAUGCCAUCAAUAUGCUGAUUCUAACUGUCGUGAGGACAUCUACUUUAUUAUAUCCGCUUUACAAUAAGUUAUGAUUGAAUUUCCUCUCUUGUUGUAGCAUUUUGAUCCACCUAUCUAUCAGCUUAAAUAAUCGUAUUAUUAUAUUAUUCAGUAUAACAUAUUAUUUCAAUGAAUUAAUAGUCAUGUUAUUAUCAAUUUUAUACUCCAAUACUCUCAUGCUGCUCAACGAUGUUUGAUGAUAUUUUUUUUAAAAAAAUUAGAAUAAAUAUAUAUAGCUUUUGCUCGUCUCCUAAGAGUAGGGCUGAAAAUUUUCAUUUUUGUCCAAAACAUAGUUUUUGAAGCAAAAGAGGCAAUGAUCAAACAUUUUUAUCGAGCCAUCAGGGUUUCAGGGUCAGGGGCUGAAGUUAAAAAAUCUCCAAAAUAUGAAUAAUGAUUUUUUUUAGGAAUAAUCUUUUAACAAGGCGAAUGGUCCAGACGGUGAUAGGGGGAAAGUUUCCCAUUUUUAAAACUCCUUAAUGCACGAGAUGUAAAAGAGGAUACGUCCCUUACUAUAAUUUCCACUCUUCAGAGUCCAAUGUAGAAUUCGUCUACUAUAGAUAAUUCUUAGUUUAGGAAGUUGUUUAUACUGUGAAUAAGUGACUUUUAUAAGGAGUGCAAUUAUAAGAGGCACGAUAAAAUUAAACGUCCAAAAUUUUAUUUUCACUGUACCAUUUCUGCUCAUCCCCCCUCUACAUAAUUUUUUCGUAGCUGAUUUUGAGAGGCUAUUUGCGUGAUUCAUCAGUACCUUUAAAUCUCUGUGUCAUGCAUUUGUAACUAUUUCUUUUGAGUUCCCUCCACUUUAAUUUGUGAUGUAAAAAAAUUAAUCGUUCCCUCGUCCAUUCCUGUACAUAGAAUUUUUGAAAACCCUAGUUUCAAUUAAUCGCUUCCAUUAGAAUACUGCAUGACCAGAAGUUUUAACAUUCCCAGACAAAAUCAACUACGAAACGUUCUGCUUCAAGAGCACUUGUCUUACAAGACAAAUUGUGUGAUGGGCAUCUUGAGGCGAACAAUAAUGGACAAUUGUUAUUAGACAUCUGUCAUGAAUGAAAAUUGUUAACAAUUUUCAGUCUUAAAAUUUUGAUAUACUUAAUUAUAUAUCGGUAAUAGGAAGAUAUAAAUUUUAAACAUAAUUUAUUUUUCUUUGUUCUGUAAUUAGAAUAAUUUAAAUACGAGCCAAGUCGUAAAAUUGUAAGUGCGAGCAUUUUAUUUUGAAGCAAAAGGGUCCAAUAUUUUAAGUACCUAUUUUUAGGAAUUUCUUAUGUACUGCAAUUAAUUUUAAAAAAGUUAAUAAAAUAAAAAUCCUGGUCACAUCGAUAUAGUACUGUGCGAUGAAUAAUUUUCGCACUGCAACUUAAUACCUAUC
This 3383-nucleotide long non-coding RNA is filed under the name Bemisia tabaci. RNAcentral describes it as "lncRNA ENSSSA3NGG012427". The record is from RNAcentral. Lineage: Eukaryota; Metazoa; Arthropoda; Insecta; Hemiptera; Aleyrodidae.